Molecule: long non-coding RNA, 346 nt
Filed under: Anas platyrhynchos (mallard)
Lineage: Eukaryota; Metazoa; Chordata; Aves; Anseriformes; Anatidae
Description: lncRNA (ENSAPLG00020006966.1)
Source: RNAcentral
GUAUUUUCCCUGGGUAGCUUCUUAACUUUUUAGGGCACAGCAGCAAAUGCGUGAUGCCGACCUCGCUUCCUAGCUGCCUGCUGUUGUUCCCUGCUGGCUGGUAACGUAUCAGAGUAACGUGUUUUAUUUUUCAGGUAGGGAAAUCCUGUGGAGCAGGUGCUUAAAUGUUGCUUUAAGUCGUUAAAAGUUAGCAGCACGCGCCGAGCCUAGAACACCAAACCAAAAGACAAGCCUGGAGCUCUCCUCCUCUACGUGGAGCCCCGUAAGGAAAUCUGUCAGAAGCGGGGGAGAUGCUGUGGGUGCUACCCGCGCAGCCAGGCAGAUUACCUUCUGGCCAGCGUUCAAG